RNAcentral lists this transfer RNA (73 nucleotides) under Paramuricea clavata. It matches the Rfam family "tRNA". Rfam says of the family: Transfer RNA (tRNA) molecules are approximately 80 nucleotides in length. Their secondary structure includes four short double-helical elements and three loops (D, anti-codon, and T loops). The record is from Rfam by way of RNAcentral. Lineage: Eukaryota; Metazoa; Cnidaria; Anthozoa; Malacalcyonacea; Plexauridae.
GACCUUGUAGCUCAGUUGGCAGAGCCGUGGACUAGUAUUCCAAAGGUCGCGGGUUCGAUUCCCACCGUGGUCA